CAUUACGGGUACGGGGAUUAGGGUUCGAUUCCGGAGAGGGAGCCUGAGAAACGGCUACCACAUCCAAGGAAGGCAGCAGGCGCGCAAAUUACCCAAUCCCAACACGGGGAGGUAGUGACAAUAAAUAACAAUAUGGGGCUCUUACGGGUCUCGUAAUUGGAAUGAGUACAAUUUAAAUCUCUUAACGAGGAACAAUUGGAGGGCAAGUCUGGUGCCAGCAGCCGCGGUAAUUCCAGCUCCAAUAGCGUAUAUUAAAGUUGUUGCAGUUAAAAAGCUCGUAGUUGAAUUUCGGANUUUGUCGGUUGGUCGGGCUUCACUGUCCGCACUGACCUGAUGGAUUCCUACCUUCUGAAUAACCAGCAUGCUAUUAAGUUAGUGCGUUGGGGAAGCAGAGCUAUUACCUUGAAAAAAUUAGAGUGCUUAAAGCAGGCUUGUGCUUGAAUAGAUUAGCAUGGAAUAAUAAAAUAGGACGGCAUGGUUCUAUUUUGUUGGUUUCUAGGAUCACCGUAAUGAUUAAUAGGGAUAGUUGGGGGCAUUAGUAUUCAAUUGUCAGAGGUGAAAUUCUUGGAUUUAUUGAAGACUAACUUCUGCGAAAGCAUUUGCCAAGGAUGUUUUCAUUAAUCAAGAACGAAAGUUAGGGGAUCGAAGACGAUCAGAUACCGUCGUAGUCUUAACCAUAAACUAUGCCGACUAGGGAUCGGACGAUGUUAAUUUUUUAAUGACUCGUUCGGCGCCUUACGGGAAACCAAUU
RNAcentral lists this ribosomal RNA (751 nucleotides) under Acaulospora cavernata. RNAcentral's name for it is "SSU rRNA". It matches the Rfam family "Eukaryotic small subunit ribosomal RNA", at positions 351 to 1102 of the family's 1831-position model. Lineage: Eukaryota; Fungi; Glomeromycota; Glomeromycetes; Diversisporales; Acaulosporaceae. The record is from RNAcentral.